Molecule: ribosomal RNA, 364 nt
Filed under: uncultured eukaryote
Lineage: Eukaryota
Description: partial 18S ribosomal RNA
Rfam family: Eukaryotic small subunit ribosomal RNA
Source: RNAcentral
CAAAAGCGUAUAUUAAAGUUGUUGCAGUUAAAAAGCUCGUAGUUGAACCUUGGGCUUGGCAGGCCGGUCCAUCUUUUUUGAUGCGUACUGGACCCAGCCGAGCCUUUCCUUCUGGCUAGCCUUUUGGCGAACCAGGACUUUUACUUUGAAAAAAUUAGAGUGUUCAAAGCAGGCCUUUGCUCGAAUAUAUUAGCAUGGAAUAAUAGAAUAGGACGUUAUGGUUCUAUUUUGUUGGUUUCUAGGACCAUCGUAAUGAUUAAUAGGGACGGUCGGGGGUAUCAGUAUUCAGUUGUCAGAGGUGAAAUUCUUGGAUUUACUGAAGACUAACUACUGCGAAAGCAUUUACCAAGGACGUUUUCAUUAA